Small nuclear RNA from Sorex fumeus (smoky shrew), 182 nucleotides. RefSeq annotates it as U2 spliceosomal RNA. The transcript has a single exon. NCBI's taxonomy places the organism in Eukaryota, Metazoa, Chordata, Mammalia, Eulipotyphla, Soricidae. The record is from RefSeq and is a predicted model, not a curated record.
AUUGCUUUUAGGUGUUUUUGCUAAAAUCAAGUGUAGUAUCUAUUCUUAUCUGGUAUGUCCUCUAUCUGAUGACAAUGUAUCAGAGAUAGAUCUUUGGAUCUGGGAGUUAGAAUAGGAGCUUGUUCCGUCAACUCCAUACAGCAACCUAAUAUUGCAGAACCUCCAGAAAUGGUAGACUUCCC